Molecule: transfer RNA, 68 nt
Filed under: Marmota monax (woodchuck)
Lineage: Eukaryota; Metazoa; Chordata; Mammalia; Rodentia; Sciuridae
Description: tRNA.Ala
Source: RNAcentral
GGCUUGUGGCUCAGAGGAAGAGUACUCGCCUAGCAUGUGUGAGCCACUGGGUUCAAUUCUCAGCACCA